AGCUGGCCCCGGGGACCCGGGGCGGGGGAGGACACGCGGCGCGGACCUCCGCGCCCGCGGAAGGGACUGCGCGAGCCGAAAGCUGCCAACAGGCUUCUGAGAGAAAUUUGUUACAGGACCCGAAUCUGCAGCUGUCUCCCAUGAGCUGCUUCUACCUGACUGAAGGCUCAGAAAAUGAAACAGCCACCCAGCUCUCCCUUGAGAUGCAGGAGAUGGAUGCUAUGAGAAACCUCAGCACCUAUGAAGGCUCAGCGUUGCUCAGAGCACCCAGAAGACAUCCAACUUACUACAACCACAUGGCACAGCACAGCCCAGAGGUGCUUGAUAUCCACACCACAGCAUCACCUCAGAGCUGUGGCCACGCUAAUAAGUGUGGUUCGAAGCAUGAAACGGCCAUGCUACCUUCGGUCCAUGAGCUGGAGCAUGCUGCUGUCAGCUCUAGGGCCUCCAAAUCACAUGCCAUAUGUUACUCACAUAGAGUCAUGCCCUGAGAACGCUUCCAAAGGGCAGGUACUGCACACUUAGCAUCCACGUGGGGAAUCUGUGCAAUGUAACUAGGGCACUGGGAAUUCACACCCCAGCUCUCUGUGCUGCAACUUGUCCGUGGAGACAAACCCUGCAUGGCUUCUUCCAACAGUCCUGGUCAUCGGGGAGCGGCACGGAGAACUACAGCCUUGCCAAAUCUAAGCAUUCAAAAUCAUGAGUCACAGUUUCCAAAAAUUAUCUAACUAGUAUUUAAAAAUAAAUAAAUAAUAAUAAUUCUGGGUUUUUAUCGUAUUUCAGAUGACACACAAAAGUUUCUCCACAGUCCUCAGUACUAGAAACUCAAGGAAAAACAAAUAUAUGGCAGAAAGCAGAAGCUGAGAUUUUCACACAUCCUUACAAUUCCAGAAAUUGGAUCUUUAAGGAAAAAGUCCCAAACAAUAAAAACCAAAAGGCUUAUGAUAUAACUAUUAUGAUUUGACUAGCAGCAGAAGCAAAACAUCAUGAUUUGACAAACCUCAACUGGACAACUCAGCUCAAAAACUUGGAGAAAGAAGGUGAAACAUUCCAGCAUAAUUUUGGCUGCCAAAACAACAGAAACAAUUGUGCAAAACUUCAACACAAGAAAAAAAAUUAAUGAGAUUUGUUCCACUUUUAUGAACUCAAAGACAAACAGAUGUUGACAAAAAUAUGUUGCAAAGAGUUCUUGCUGUUGUUCAGCCCAACCCAAGUUGCAGCAAUGCAAAUGCAUCUCUUGUUCACUGUCUCACCCCCUUUGCUCUCGCUUUUCACUCACACAGAGCAGCCAGUGUCUUUGCACGCUGUGUGUUCUUUCACAUCUUUUACCAAUACAAUGGGUUUAAUUUCAGUCUCUUGUACACCAUGCUGACAGUGGCAAUUAUUCUUAUUUUUUCUGCAAGAACAUACCUGUACUGGGUACUUCCCAGAAAGAGCCACAGACUCCAUUUCAGAGGUACAUGAAAAAUCCCCACUCCUUAGUAACAUCUGCACUUUUUAAUAUGAUCCUACAAUUUGGACUGCAACUACCAAAGGGCUCAGCUGGCUUCCAUGCACUACUUUCUGUCCUCUCUUAAUACUGAAGCAACUCUUAAUUUUAUUUACUCUAGAUUAUAACUGUAGAACCUAAACUAAAUGAUGCUGAGAUCCAUGAGGUGCUCUCCUGGAAAAAGGUUUCAGAAAUGGAUCCCAUGUCCAAAUUGAAGAUGAUGCCAGCAAUGGUUUCAUUUCAAGGCAAUCCAGAUGUUCAGUAAAGUGAUUAGGAAGUGGUGUGUAUCAAAUAUAAGAUACUCUGCAUUGAACUAAUGCAUUUAUUUGCUCUGAAUGGUUUUCCAGUUCAAGGCAGCACUUUGCCUGUCACAAGUAAAGUGCUUUGACAGAACACAUGGAUAUUUUUGCUGCUUAAACUGAGCCAGCAAACAGAACAGCCAGCAACUCCCGAGUCUCAAAAGAGUCCAAAGUAGUACUGUCAUUCUGAUAUAUGUAUUUCCUGGUCAACUAAAUGCAGGAGUUCAUGUCCCAUUUGUCAGCGUCCUGCAUAUCCAGGGCCAGGAAGCAAAUAGGCAUAAUGUUAUCAUGUGAUCAUUGAGUUUUUGCCCUAUUACUGGCUAGCAAGUGUCCAGAGUGUCACUAAAAUCAGGUAAUAUGCCUCUUUGCUUUGAAGAAUUGAGGCCAAGAACUUGUCCCAGCUAUCAGUGGUGCAGCACCUCGGCCCAGCACUCUGUUUGUCCCAGUGCUGUCCCCAAGCUUGGUGUCCACACCUGCAGGCACAGGGCUCUGGUAUAUAACCCAGCCUCAGGUGUGUAACUGUAACAAGGUAGGCAAGACCUGUCCAGAGCUAGCAAGAGGUGGUAAAGCCUCAUCUCAAACUACUGUAGAGCACAAGUGCCUCCUGUCUCUCCCAUAGGGACCUGUUGGUGGUUUAUCAUUCCCUUCAAGGAAGAGGAAUGAGGAUGAAGAACAGCUGAGAAAGUUAAACAGGUGAUCCCCCUGUUUAGGGGGAUAUUUAAUAUUCUGAGAGAAUAUUAAUAUUUAAUAAUCUGAGAGAAAGUGUAGCCCAUUUCUCCUUCCUCGUUGUCAGAGAAACCUUCAGUCAACACACAAUUACCCCUGCUGCCUUGGCUCUCUAGGGAGAGUUACAGAGGCAAGGUCCCCAGGCAAUCACAAACACACUAAAACCAGAGGCAUCACAUCCUCUGCUAAUGGAAAACACUGUAGCUCCAUCCAGCUCAGAAAAGGCACCAGCUACCCGAUCCCAUCCAAAUGCAGCAUCCACAAACAUGGGCAGGAUCUUCUGCACUGUCAGGGUCCCUUUUGACUUUGGGCCUGUGUCUGUUUUUCUCACUCAAGUUGCACCUUUAGUUGUGAACAUGGGAAGAAAAAAAAAAUCCAGAUAAGAGAAUGCAGCUGGGUUGUAAUUUGUAGUUUCACAGUCCUCCGUGGAUAAGCCCCAACACAAUACAUCCAUUUGCCUGCAAAUUGAGAAUUGUGUUAAACCCACGGUAGUUCUGAUGUAACAAUAUCUUCAUGCUGAGAAACUUGAAGACUGCUGAGAAAUACAGCACUUAAGCAGAACAAAAAGCAAAUUCCCAGCAGCACCUUCCGCCCCCAUGUUUUUAUUGAGUUUUAGUAGAAAAGAAUUCAAAAAUACAGAGGGCCUGCAGACCAGACUAGGCAUUGUCUGCAUUAAUUUGGGGUAUACAUUACUUUCAGCUGAUAUUCAGAUGAAAAAUUAACCCGGCAUUCCUCCACAGUUUGUGAUUUCAUGAGCAAGUUUUGCAGACACGUCUCUACUCCCGGACCUGGUGCUCUCAAUGAUUUCCACUUGCGCGUGCACAUGGGAAAAGGAGGAACAGCUCUGCGUGUGUGUGUGCACAUUGGCAAGACAGUCUCCCAGAUGAACAAGGAACAUGCAGAAUACUAGCAGCCCUGAACUCAAGAGAGGUCUGGAAAGGGUGGUGAUAACAUGGCUUUUCACAGCAGAAUCUGGUCGCCAAGAUACCUGUUCUGUUUCUGGCCAUGCAAAAAGCAAAUCUCAGAAACUGAUUUAAGUGGCAUUAAGAAUUUUCAUUGGUAACUGGAGGAACUAGAACCCACAUCUUCCUGCACAUCAGGGAGUGUUGGACUCCUCUGUCUUAAGUGAUUUGUAAAGUUUUUUUCCAAAGGUUAUUCCUUGAGGCAAGAACAAACGAACAAAAUAUUCAGGUUAAAGGUAACAAUACUCCCAGCUGCUCUUAUCCCACUAUUGCAAGAUUUUUAUUCUCAAAAUACCUGACUUUUUAGCUGUCAUUUCAUUAGGUUGUGUAGAAUGCAAAACAGAGGAUUGUAUUUAUAAAGAUUUAUCAAUGGAA
Long non-coding RNA from Columba livia (rock pigeon), 3851 nucleotides. RefSeq lists it as uncharacterized. The record is from RefSeq and is a predicted model, not a curated record. The transcript is spliced from 3 exons. NCBI's taxonomy places the organism in Eukaryota, Metazoa, Chordata, Aves, Columbiformes, Columbidae.